UACGUAGGCAGCAAGCGUUGUUCGGAAUUACUGGGCGUAAAGAGUGCGUAGGUGGUUGGCUAAGUUUGGUGUGAAAUCUCCCGGCUUAACUGGGAGGGUGCGCCGAAAACUGGUUGACUAGAGUGUGGGAGAGGGACGUGGAAUUCCUGGUGUAGCGGUGAAAUGCGUAGAUAUCAGGAGGAACACCUGCGGUGUAGACGGCGUCCUGGACCAUGACUGACACUGAGGCACGAAAGCGUGGGGAGCAAACAGG
RNAcentral lists this ribosomal RNA (253 nucleotides) under uncultured bacterium. Its description in RNAcentral is "partial 16S ribosomal RNA". It matches the Rfam family "Bacterial small subunit ribosomal RNA", at positions 524 to 776 of the family's 1533-position model. The record is from RNAcentral.